RNAcentral lists this ribosomal RNA (93 nucleotides) under Escherichia coli. Its description in RNAcentral is "partial 16S ribosomal RNA". It matches the Rfam family "Bacterial small subunit ribosomal RNA", at positions 1 to 89 of the family's 1533-position model. The record is from RNAcentral. Lineage: Bacteria; Pseudomonadati; Pseudomonadota; Gammaproteobacteria; Enterobacterales; Enterobacteriaceae. RNAcentral also lists the same sequence under 34 other names.
AAAUUGAAGAGUUUGAUCAUGGCUCAGAUUGAACGCUGGCGGCAGGCCUAACACAUGCAAGUCGAACGGUAACAGGAAGCAGCUUGCUGCUUC